Molecule: ribosomal RNA, 416 nt
Filed under: uncultured bacterium
Lineage: Bacteria
Description: bacterial SSU rRNA
Rfam family: Bacterial small subunit ribosomal RNA
Source: RNAcentral
AUUGAACGCUGGCGGCAUGCCUUACACAUGCAAGUCGAACGGUAACGGGCCUUCGGGUGCCGACGAGUGGCGAACGGGUGAGUAAUGCAUCGGAACGUACCUUUCAGUGGGGGAUAACGUAGCGAAAGUUACGCUAAUACCGCAUAUUCUGUGAGCAGGAAAGCAGGGGAUCGCAAGACCUUGCGCUGAUUGAGCGGCCGAUGUCAGAUUAGCUAGUUGGUGAGGUAAAGGCUCACCAAGGCGACGAUCUGUAGCGGGUCUGAGAGGAUGACCCGCCACACUGGAACUGAGACACGGUCCAGACUCCUACGGGAGGCAGCAGUGGGGAAUUUUGGACAAUGGGCGCAAGCCUGAUCCAGCCAUGCCGCGUGAGUGAAGAAGGCCUCGGGUUGUUAAAGACGUCUUUCGGUCCCGGG